UCGAAUCCUGCGAUACUAGAAUGACCCGUUAACAUGUAUAAACCCCGGGCAAGCAUUGGGGGUCCUUGGGUCCCCAGUCUGCGAACCCAAGGCAGUUGUCCCCUUACGGUGGUCCACUGCCUAACGAAAUCAACUGGGCGUUAGACGCGCCAAGGAACUAAAUAUUGAAUUGUUCGUCCGCAUCCCGUUCACGGGAAGUGGCGGCAGUCUAUAACAC
RNAcentral lists this ribosomal RNA (217 nucleotides) under Daucus broteri. Its description in RNAcentral is "internal transcribed spacer 1". The record is from RNAcentral. Lineage: Eukaryota; Viridiplantae; Streptophyta; Magnoliopsida; Apiales; Apiaceae.